AACGAACGCUGGCGGCAUGCCUAACACAUGCAAGUCGAACGAGACCUUCGGGUCUAGUGGCGCACGGGUGCGUAACGCGUAGGAACCUGCCCUUAGGUUCGGAAUAACUCCCCGAAAGGGGUGCUAAUACCGGAUAAUGUCUUCGGACCAAAGAUUUAUCGCCUUUGGAUGGGCCCGCGUUGGAUUAGCUAGUUGGUAGGGUAAAAGCCUACCAAGGCGACGAUCCAUAGCUGGUCUGAGAGGAUGAUCAGCCACACUGGGACUGAGACACGGCCCAGAUUCCUACGGGAGGCAGCAGUGGGGAAUAUUGGACAAUGGGCGAAAGCCUGAUCCAGCAAUGCCGCGUGAGUGAUGAAGGCCUUAGGGUUGUAAAGCUCUUUUACCCGGGAUGAUAAUGACAGUACCGGGAGAAUAAGCUCCGGCUAACUCCGUG
Molecule: ribosomal RNA, 433 nt
Filed under: uncultured bacterium
Lineage: Bacteria
Description: partial 16S ribosomal RNA
Rfam family: Bacterial small subunit ribosomal RNA
Source: RNAcentral